AAUUGACUCGUACCAUAAGCGAGGAAUGAAAAAACUCUCUUGGUUUUCCAUAUGCAAAGGAAACUUUGGCUGCAUACUGUGGGGGGAGUAAUCUUGCCGUCGCCCAAAGCUUGUAUUGCCAUUUGGUUGCUCCCGCAUUUUGGAACAGGGGAGACUGCAACCCAGUUCAACCAGUUGGUUUCUUGGUGGAGCAAGGCUGUUGACUGCUUUUUGCAUAUAGGAGCUUGUUUUCAAGUUGAAAUGGUUAUAGAAAUUUGUUGGUACACUAUUACUCAAGUUUUUCUUACAGUUUCUAUAGAAAGUGAAUGAAGUGUAGCUUCCUCGAUGUAUAUGCCUCCAUUUUUUUUAGGUUUGAGGAAGUCGAAGAGUUUGAAAAAUGGGUGUUAAAAACUGGAAUUCACUGAUCUUUGUAGUUAGGGGUUGAAUAUACUUAAAGAAGAGCUAAGAUUUAAAUG
Hibiscus syriacus is the source of this 455-nucleotide long non-coding RNA. RefSeq lists it as uncharacterized. Lineage: Eukaryota; Viridiplantae; Streptophyta; Magnoliopsida; Malvales; Malvaceae. The record is from RefSeq and is a predicted model, not a curated record. The transcript has 2 exons.